GUUUGAGUAGUUUAAUUAGAAUAAUAAUUUGUGGUGUUAUAGGUGUUUUUUAAUCUCAAACU
This 62-nucleotide transfer RNA is filed under the name Physopelta quadriguttata. RNAcentral's name for it is "tRNA-His". The record is from RNAcentral. Lineage: Eukaryota; Metazoa; Arthropoda; Insecta; Hemiptera; Largidae.